UUAUGAAUUAAAUAUGGUGGGAUGUAAAAUAAUUUAUUUUACACCAUGUGCAUAUUGAUAUGGGUCUGUUUUCUGAAAACAUCAUUAGACAGCCUUAGUUCUUUCCAUCAACAGAAUAAGUAACACCACAAUGGAAAUCCAAUCAGUGUCAAGGUGUGUGACUGACCAUGAUCUUCACUGUGUGAAUAUUCAGCCCGAAUCUAGAGUGGGACCACACUUUCCUUUUGCACUUUAUCUUCUUAGUUACUGAAAAGCACUUUGGUGUAUUUCCUUAGGAUUUCUUCUUACUUCCAUACAGUUUCUUUAAGUUUACACAAAGAAUCCAUUUUCAAAAUGUUCAUGUGACCACUAACUUGACUCGGUCUCUUCGGUUGUUCUCCAGGAAGGAUAGAAUUGCUCAGCAGAGAUUGUCCUUGAGGGCUCUAAUCUAAGGCAAAGCUUUUGUUUCAUGUUGUUCUCUGUGUGGCUCCCAGCAGAACACGGAAUGGGCACUUUCCAAGUUACCGUAUCCUUUCCUUUUGUCUAUACCUGGCUUUUUCUUUAUUGAGGGGUGUUUGCAAUUGGUAAGUCACAAACGAUAUUUAAGGAUAAAAAUAAGGAAUCUAAGGAUAUAUUUGAAAUUGGCAUUUUUGUUGCUGAAUUAUUAAAUCUAUGAGCCGCUUUCUCAUUGUACCCAUCUUUAUAAACCUAUGUCUGGCCGGCGCCACGGCUCACUAGGCUAAUCCUCCACCUUGUAGCGCCGGCACACCGGGUUCUAGUCCCGGUUGGGGCACUGGAUUCUGUCCCGGUUGCCCCUCUUCCAGGCCAGCUCUCUGCUGUGGCCAGGGAGUGCAGUGGAGGAUGGCCCAAGUCCUUGGGCCCUGUACCCCAUGGGAGACCAGAAGUACCUAGCUCCUGCCAUAGGAUCAGCGAGGUGCGCCGACCGCAGCAGAGGGUGAACCAAUGGCAAAGGAAGACCUUUCUCUGCCUCUCUCUCACUGUCCACUCUGCCUGUCAAAAAUAAAUAAAUAAAAAUAAACCUAUGUUUAUCUUGUGUCAGAAAACUCAUGAAAAUCUACAUUAUGAGCAUGUAUUUCUAUGGGUUCAAAUAAUGUUUUCCUGUUGUCAGUUGAUAAAAUGAUUGUGUUCUGAAAAUAUCCUAAGAAAACUUUUGAUUUACCUUCCACAGGUGAUUUAAUGCUACCCUGGAGUACGAAUCAGUGUAAGGUGCUUUGAUGCUACCACUGCUGUUGACACAAUACCAGAAAUGGAACCAUCUCAUCAUAUCUGGUGCUUUGGAACAACAGUAAUCGACCCUAUAAAGCAAGCUGCAAAACUCACAUCUAGAAGGGGGCCGCCCAACUCUCCAAAAUGAAUCAUUUUAUUUCAUUCAAUGGUAGCAUAUUCACAGCUGGACAUCACUAAUUUCCCUACACUCUACCAUGAAGCUAAGAGUGUUUUUAGAAAAAAAAUUGACAGAUUUUUCUUUCUGUCCAGAAAUAAACAAAUUGGCUUGCAACUGA
This is a non-coding RNA of Oryctolagus cuniculus (rabbit), 1502 nucleotides long. NCBI's taxonomy places the organism in Eukaryota, Metazoa, Chordata, Mammalia, Lagomorpha, Leporidae. The record is from RefSeq and is a predicted model, not a curated record.